CCACACACAGGACUUGAACUCUAUCAGCAGCACUCCAUAUCUAAGCAGAGCAAAGACGAUACAACNCUCUGUACUUCCCCAGGACUGCUAGACACACUGGAGAGAAGCCGCUUCCAUCUGCCCUGCGUCUGUAGAGUGUCCAGCAUCCUGACCCAUGAAUCAGAGACUACUGUCUGAUUUGCCUUGACUCAGAGAGUCUGAACCCGAGCUUCAGCUAAGAUACCUCACACAGGUGGCUGUGGGCACACCUGAGGAAACAAAGUCCGGCACACAGCUGGCAGAAGCCAUCGCAGCAACAUAAGCUCCCGAGGAAGGGGUCCAGAGACAGAGCAAGAUGAGCUCCGAGACAGGCCCUGUAGCUGUUGAUCCCACUCUGAGGUAAGACAGGAAUGGGACCACCCAAUUCAAUCACACAGAAAUGGACAUUUAAGAGUCACAGGACUAGGGGGCUGGAGAGAUGG
Molecule: non-coding RNA, 461 nt
Organism: Mus caroli (Ryukyu mouse)
Lineage: Eukaryota; Metazoa; Chordata; Mammalia; Rodentia; Muridae
Source: RefSeq, a predicted model, not a curated record